UAAUUCUAGGGGAUCCAACACUCUCACACAGAGAUACAAAUAGGCAAAACACUGAUGCACAUAAAAUAAAAGUAAAUCAUUAGAAAAAAGAAAAGAAAAGGUCUCAGAACUUGGGUAGUGGGUAGGGUCAAGCUUCACUCUGACAAGCCCUUCUAGACUGUCAGAUGUGGGAAGUAGUAACUCUAUCUAUGCCAGGGGGAAAGUGGGUUUCUGUAGGAUUAUCUCCUUUCACAUUUGAAUGAAGGAUGAUAAACCACUAUGUGGCCUCUAAGCCACCUCUGGUUCCAUAAUAGCAGCUACUAUUAACCAGCUUCACUUGGCAGCUUAUCCCAUUUUCUUUCUCUUUUCUGGCUUAAACUCUUUUCCUAAACUCUCCAGGAUCAAUAACAAAAAGGGUGGGCCAAGUGUAGUGCACACACUUGUAAUAUCAGUGGUCAGACGAGUAAAGGGAUCAGAAGUUCAUGAGUUGGUUUCCUCAGAGUCUCCUGCUGGGGUAUGAUGGAGAGUAGCAGGAGUUGUCCCAACUCAGCAGGGUCACCUUGGCCCCGACAGUUUCCUGGAUGCAGUGCAUACCCAGGCCACCCGGCAGAAGACCGAGGAUAGGGCUAAGCUCUCAGUAUACUCUGCCCCAUCUUUGAUGAGAAGCCCUUGUCCUGUCUUCCCUGCUCCAGUUUGCCACCCUCCUUCUUAAGUGACCAUCAGCUUAUAACAGCUUUGCUCUGCUGUCCUAGCUCUGGCAGUAUGGGGACCUGAGAAGGACUGGAGACCAGGUGGCUGGAUUUUCUCUCUCUCUCUCUCUCUCUCCUCUCUCUCUCUCUCUCUCUCUCUCUCUCUCUCUCUCUCUCUCUCAACAAGAAAAUAGAAAAUUUAGGUGAAGCCUUGUGUCUUUGGAGACCUGAGUUACUAACCUUCUUCUGCCUGAAUUUAGGUUACAGCAUAAAUAUUUGGCCUUGCUUUUAGAACUUGGGUUUCAAUCCUGCAUAGCUACUUUCUAACAUAUUAGCUUCUCAGUGUCCCUGCUCCCUGUCUGUAAGGUAUAUAUGGAAAAUGGAGCUUCCCACAUCUUGGGGCUGUAGGCAUAUUCAGCAGGAGGUUAGGGAUGGGGCUAGAACCUGGGGUAUAUUUAGGGCGAGUAGCACUUCUACCAGUGUGCUGUGACACUAGUACUUAUUCCUUCGAGUAGCACUGUCGAGAGCUGUAAAGAACUUUUCUCAGCAGGUUGUCAGUGCGAACCUAACCUACUGCCCGAGAGUAGUAGUUGGAAUUAUAUGGUAACUAUUCGUUUUACAAGUUAAGGCCAAUUAUCUCAGCUGAUUCCAUUUCCUUGCUAUUGUAAAAAGGACAGGGAUAAAUAUAAGCAUGCAGGUAUCUGUAGUAGAAGACACUCUGUGCACCUCCCUGAGAGUGGUAAGCUGGAGCAUAGCAAGUUCUGCCCUAGUUCUCUGAGGAGCUUCCACAUUCCUUUCUGUAGUGGCCGCACUCACUCCCCCCAGCACUGGGUUGCUCUCUCCCCAUAUCCUCACCAGUAUUCAUUGUCAUUUUCUUGAUUACCAUUCUCACUAGAGUAACAUGGAGUCACAGAAUAGUUUGGUACACAUAUACAAAUAGAAUUUUAUUGAGC
Molecule: long non-coding RNA, 1621 nt
Filed under: Mus musculus (house mouse)
Lineage: Eukaryota; Metazoa; Chordata; Mammalia; Rodentia; Muridae
Description: long non-coding RNA chr11:59721993-59723614
Source: RNAcentral